Molecule: transfer RNA, 72 nt
Filed under: Ganoderma leucocontextum
Lineage: Eukaryota; Fungi; Basidiomycota; Agaricomycetes; Polyporales; Polyporaceae
Description: tRNA-Cys
Rfam family: tRNA
About the family: Transfer RNA (tRNA) molecules are approximately 80 nucleotides in length. Their secondary structure includes four short double-helical elements and three loops (D, anti-codon, and T loops).
Source: RNAcentral
GUCUGGAUAGCUCAGUGGUAGAGUGUCUGGGUGCAAACCAGAAGGUCCUGGGUUCAAUCCCCGGUCUGGUCA